RNAcentral lists this ribosomal RNA (492 nucleotides) under uncultured bacterium. RNAcentral describes it as "partial 16S ribosomal RNA". It matches the Rfam family "Bacterial small subunit ribosomal RNA", at positions 29 to 507 of the family's 1533-position model. The record is from RNAcentral.
AGUGAACGCUGGCGGUAGGCCUAACACAUGCAAGUCGAACGGCAGCACAGUAAGAGCUUGCUCUUACGGGUGGCGAGUGGCGGACGGGUGAGGAGUACAUCGGAAUCUACUUUUUCGUGGGGGAUAACGUAGGGAAACUUACGCUAAUACCGCAUACGACCUACGGGUGAAAGCAGGUGAUCUUCGGACCUUGCGCGUUUGAAUGAGCCGAUGUCGGAUUAGAUAGUUGGCGGGGUAAAGGCCCACCAAGGCGACGAUCCGUAGCUGGUCUGAGAGGAUGAUCAGCAACACUGGAACUGAGACACGGUCCAGACGCCUACGGGAGGCAGCAGUGGGGAAUAUUGGACAAUGGGCGAAAGCAUGAUCCAGCAAUACCGCGUGGGUGAAGAAGGACUUCGGGUUGUAAAGCCCUUUUGUUGGGAAAGAAAAGAAGCAGGUUAAUACCACGCUGUUCUGACGGUACCCAAAGAAUAAGCACCGGCUAACUUCGUG